GCCGAUUGAUGCUGCAGUAGUGACUCUCGGCCCAUUUGGGAGAAAUACGCUGAGACAGACAAUGUAACUACCUGACGAAUCUCUUUCCUUGCAGAUAAAAUCAGCACAUAGCACACGCCUUUCAACCAUCUGCCACAAAAGAAGAACCAAUGUUGGGGCAAAUCAGGGACAAACGGAGGAAAAAACCCUCCCAGGAAUGGCUUCUUGAAAAUGGAAUUAAAGGCAAAAAUAUGAAGCACCAAGAAAUCAUCACAGCUUCAAGCAGUUAACAUACUAUCAGUUAAUACCAGAGAGAGAGAGACUAUCACUACAAGCAAAAACAAAUACUGGAAUGAAGAUCCCUGGAGAGCUGCAGGUGAAGGAAACCCUUGGCUACUUCCACAUAAGAGGCAAACCGUCAAUGGGAAAAUGAGCAGGAUCCUCUGUGGACUUUCUUUUUGUCCUUGUGGAUUAUUUCCAAGUUAUGGGAUCUUUAAUUCUCAAAUUAGUGGGAGAGUUGUUUGAGUAAAGAGUUCAGGAUCAGGCUGUAGCUUAUUAAAUAAAAAAAGUUAGACAACCAAGUUGUCUAGUGUUGGUAUUAUAGUAAAUUGGCAAAAUGUUAAAUGUUUUAUUCUCUUUAUGAGAGUGAAGGAAAUGAGAUUCUGAGAAGUAUUGGAGUGGGCAACCCAAUUAGUAUUUGUUUUUCCUGUUCUUGAUAGUGAUCAAAUUUCCCCCUACCUCCCCACACACACAUUUAUGUCAAAAAUAGAACAGAAAGUAAGGAGUUAACUGAGAACGGGGACAAAUAAUAAGAAAAAGAAAAACCUUGAUUAUGCUUUCUGCCCACUAUGUCCAUGGCAUUCAAUAAAAACCAAAGCUCUCAAUUUCGGGGGGGGGGGGAAAUCGGGGACAAAACCACAGAUAGAAGCAUAAAGACAGCUUUGGAACAACCCACCCUUUGCCACAGUCAUGUUAGGAAUUCAAGACUGGAAAUUCACUUUACUCCGGAAAAUAGUUAAUGGUGACCCAGAGAAAAAUGUUUCAAAGGUCACUCUAAAUCUACAGCUACAGAGCCAGCUAGAUCAGCCUUUACAAGAUCUUACUUGCUUAAAUAUGUUUUCUUUCUGAGAAGCUAGUUUCUGUUUCUUGCAUGCCUCCUUACAUUUAACAUUUAUUCUGAGCAUGAACAAACUAAUCUCUAUUAUAAAAAGUUUCCAUGCCUUUCAUUAUUGUUCAUUAUCAGGGUGUUUGGUUUUUUAUAUUAAACCAUUUGUAUUGGAGUGAAUCUUUUCACUACCAAACUUUUCUAUAAUUGUUAAAGCAGGUUUAACAAUGCCCCCUACUGGAUUCAUAGCUGAAAUGACAAAAAAUAUCAGGUGAUGGAAUAGGGAACACAGUUAAAACCAAGCAAGAUUGAACCGAAUGGUGAGUGUAUAUUAAUUCCCUACAGAGAAGUUCAGAUUUGUGUUUUGUUCAGUCUUCAUAGGUCAAGAUUGUGCGGUUCCUCUAUCAAGCAGCACUACCUCAGUUAGUGGAAACAUUUUGCUCUAAACAGUUAUAUAAAAUAUUAUCCCGUUAAAUAUUCACCAUGUUAAAAGUUACCAAGAAGGUGGCUCUUUAGGUUUCAGACCUUUAAGACACUAUCAGAUUGUUUCACAAUAACUUAGUGAUUGUUAUGGUAAUAAAUUAGGCCCUGAUCCUGCAACUGGAUCCAUGUGGGUGAUCCCUUGCACCUGUGCAGGGGAGCUCCAAUGAUUUGAUUGGAACUCUGAAUGGACAGAUGGGUCUGCACAUGUAGAUCUGAUUACAGAAUCAUAGCCUUGGUUGUAGUAUCAGAGAGAGAGAGAGAGGUACAAAGAUGCCACAUAGCCUGGUGCAAAGCACACACUGGUGUUUGUGGUAGAAAGAUUAUUGUCUCUUUAAAAUAUUGUUGUUGCAUCUCAGAACCUUUCACUGUUUAAAGAAUGGCACUGCUCUAUAGCACUGUAAAUGUGAAGAUGUUUUUAAGAAUAAUAUUUUUAAAUACUGUGCAAUGUCCUUUAAAUAGGGAAGCAUUAUUAUUAUGUAUUUAUUGGUAUUACCAAACACCUCAAGAGCCCUAAUCAGGGACACGGACCCCAUUGCACUGAACAGUUAUGUUAUUUUUACAAAAGAUCAGUAUAACAAUA
Long non-coding RNA from Mauremys reevesii (Reeves's turtle), 2147 nucleotides. RefSeq lists it as uncharacterized. Lineage: Eukaryota; Metazoa; Chordata; Testudines; Geoemydidae. The transcript is spliced from 4 exons. The record is from RefSeq and is a predicted model, not a curated record.